UUUGAUCCUGGCUCAGGAUGAACGCUAGCGGGAGGCCUAACACAUGCAAGCCGAGCGGUAGAGUUUCUUCGGAAACUUGAGAGCGGCGCACGGGUGCGUAACACGUGUGCAACCUACCUUUAUCUGGGGGAUAGCCUUUCGAAAGGAAGAUUAAUACCCCAUAAUAUAAUGAUUGGCAUCAAUUAUUAUUGAAAACUCCGGUGGAUAGAGAUGGGCACGCGCAAGAUUAGAUAGUUGGUGAGGUAACGGCUCACCAAGUCAAUGAUCUUUAGGGGUCCUGAGAGGGAGAUCCCCCACACUGGUACUGAGACACGGACCAGACUCCUACGGGAGGCAGCAGUGAGGAAUAUUGGACAAUGGGUGAGAGCCUGAUCCAGCCAUCCCGCGUGAAGGAAGACGGUCCUAUGGAUUGUAAACUUCUUUUGUACAGGGAUAAACCUACUCUCGUGAGGGUAGCUGAAGGUACUGUACGAAUAAGCACCGGCUAACUCCGUGCCCGCAGCCGCGGUAAUACGGAGGGUGCAAGCGUUAUCCGGAUUUAUUGGGUUUAAAGGGUCCGUAGGCGGACUUGUAAGUCAGUGGUGAAAUCUCAUAGCUUAACUAUGAAACUGCCAUUGAUACUGCAGGUCUUGAGUAAAUUUGAAGUGGCUGGAAUAAGUAGUGUAGCGGUGAAAUGCAUAGAUAUUACUUAGAACACCAAUUGCGAAGGCAGGUCACUAAGAUUUAACUGACGCUGAUGGACGAAAGCGUG
Molecule: ribosomal RNA, 751 nt
Filed under: uncultured Chryseobacterium sp.
Lineage: Bacteria; Pseudomonadati; Bacteroidota; Flavobacteriia; Flavobacteriales; Weeksellaceae
Description: bacterial SSU rRNA
Rfam family: Bacterial small subunit ribosomal RNA
Source: RNAcentral